CCUACGGGGAGCAGCAGUGAGGAAUAUUGGUCAAUGGACGAGAGUCUGAACCAGCCAAGUAGCGUGAAGGAUGACUGCCCUAUGGGUUGUAAACUUCUUUUAUAUGGGAAUAAAAUGUUCCACGUGUGGGAUUUUGUAUGUACCAUAUGAAUAAGGAUCGGCUAACUCCGUGCCAGCAGCCGCGGUAAUACGGGGGAUCCGAGCGUUAUCCGGAUUUAUUGGGUUUAAAGGGAGCGUGGGUGGGUUGUUAAGUCAGUUGUGAAAGUUUGCGGCUCAACCGUAAAAUUGCAGUUGAAACUGGCAGUCUAGAGUACAGUAGAGGUGGGCGGAAGUCGUGGUGUAGAGGUGAAAUGCUUAGAUAUCACGAAGAACACCGAGUGCGAAGGCAGUUCACUGGACUGCAACUGACACUGAGGCUCGAAAGUGUGGGUAUCAAACAGGAUUAGAUACCCUUGUAGUC
Molecule: ribosomal RNA, 460 nt
Filed under: uncultured bacterium
Lineage: Bacteria
Description: partial 16S ribosomal RNA
Rfam family: Bacterial small subunit ribosomal RNA
Source: RNAcentral